This 492-nucleotide ribosomal RNA is filed under the name uncultured bacterium. RNAcentral describes it as "partial 16S ribosomal RNA". It matches the Rfam family "Bacterial small subunit ribosomal RNA", at positions 29 to 507 of the family's 1533-position model. The record is from RNAcentral.
AGUGAACGCUGGCGGUAGGCCUAACACAUGCAAGUCGAGCGGCAGCACAGUAAGAGCUUGCUCUUACGGGUGGCGAGUGGCGGACGGGUGAGGAAUACAUCGGAAUCUACUUUUUCGUGGGGGAUAACGUAGGGAAACUUACGCUAAUACCGCAUACGACCUACGGGUGAAAGCAGGGGAUCUUCGGACCUUGUGCGAUUGAAUGAGCCGAUGUCGGAUUAGCUAGUUGGCGGGGUAAAGGCCCACCAAGGCGACGAUCCGUAGCUGGUCUGAGAGGAUGAUCAGCCACACUGGAAGUGAGACAGGGUCCAGACUCCUAAGGGAGGAAGCAGUGGGGAAUAUUGGACAAUGGGCGCAAGCAUGAUCCAGCGAUACCGCGUGGGUGACGAAGGCCUUCGGGUUGUAAAGCCCUUUUGUUGGGAAAGAAAAGCAGCAGGUUAAUACCCCGCUGUUCUGACGGUACCCAAAGAAUAAGCACCGGCUAACUUCGUG